CGUAGGGAGCAAGCGUUGUUCGGAUUUACUGGGCGUAAAGGGCGCGUAGGCGGCAAUUCAAGUCACUUGUGAAAUCUCCGGGCUUAACUCGGAACGGUCAAGUGAUACUGCUUUGCUAGAGUGCGAAGGGGCAAUCGGAAUUCUCGGUGUAGCGGUGAAAUGCGUAGAUAUCGAGAGGAACACCUGAGGUGAAGACGGGUUGCUGGGCCGACACUGACGCUGACAGCGCGAAAGCCAGGGGAGCAAACGGGAUUAGAUACCCCGGUAGUCCUGGCCCUAAACGAUGAAUACUUGGUGUCUGGAGUUAUUAGUGCUCCGGGUGCCGUCGCUAACGUUUUUAGUAUUCCGCCUGGGGAGUACGCUCGCAAGAGUG
This 373-nucleotide ribosomal RNA is filed under the name uncultured organism. RNAcentral's name for it is "bacterial SSU rRNA". It matches the Rfam family "Bacterial small subunit ribosomal RNA", at positions 526 to 896 of the family's 1533-position model. The record is from RNAcentral.